AUUUGUCAAGGAUUAUUUUUCAUGAUGUUGACUUUAAAAGCAAUGUAAAAUUAGCUGUCUGACUGAAUCAAGUUAUUUUUUUCAAUUAUUUUUUGUAUUAUUUUCUGUACAAACUGUGAACCCACAUUAACAUCAAGCACGUUUCUAUUUAUUACAUACGUGUUCUUAUGCUAUAUAAAACAAAGAAAUACUUUCUGUGCUUUAAAAGCAUUCUGUCUUAUUUUAGAUGUGCUAAAUAGAAUGGCUGUGUUCUAUUAUGUGUAAAAAUUGUUAUUAUGGUUUCGUCACUAAAUUCACCCAUAUACUAAAGUAGAAAAUCUGUUGCAAAAAAUAAACCAACAAACGAAAACUCUCUACAGAAUAUUUUCAGAGGUUAAGCAGUACAUCCCAAUCUAUAAUCUGGAAGUGGAAAUUAUAGCAUCUUGAUCAUAUUCCUUCUUAAUAAACAUGGGCCACAAUGUAAAUAUGGACAUGCUAUAUACCUAUUUUUGCUGGGUAUAACACCACAGAUGCCACCCAGGUAGCUUACAAAUUCACUGUAUUUCUUUCCAUUAUUUGAGUUUUAGUUUAUAGUUUAGAUUAGAUCUGUGCACCAAUUGGUGCAAAAAUGUGCCCAUGAUUUUACUGAAAAAUAUAUACAUAAUACAUUUGCAUUUUGCAGUAC
Pelobates cultripes (western spadefoot toad) is the source of this 664-nucleotide non-coding RNA. The record is from the annotation of a GenBank genome assembly. NCBI's taxonomy places the organism in Eukaryota, Metazoa, Chordata, Amphibia, Anura, Pelobatidae.